GAUGAACGCUGGCGGCGUGCUUAACACAUGCCAGUCGAACGAUGAAGCCCAGCUUGCUGUGUGGAUUAGUGGCGAACGGGUGAGUAACACGUGAGUAACCUGCCCUUAACUCUGGGAUAAGCCUGGGAAACUGGGUCUAAUACCGGAUAGGAGCUUCUACCGCAUGGUGGGUGUUGGAAAGAUUUAUCGGUUUUGGAUGGACUCGCGGUCUAUCCGCUUGUUGGUGAGGUAAUGGCUAACUAAGGCGACGACGGGUAGCCGGCCUGGGAGCGUGACCGGCCACACUGGGACUGAGACACGGCCCAGUCUCGUACGGGAGGCAGCAGUGGGGAAUAUUGCACAAUGGGGGCAAGCCAGAUGCAGCGGCGCCGGGUGAGGGAUGACGGCCUUCGGGUUGUAAACCUCUUUCAGUAGGGAAGAAGCGAAAGUGACGGUACCUGCAGAAGAAGCACCGGCUAACUACGUG
This 466-nucleotide ribosomal RNA is filed under the name uncultured bacterium. RNAcentral describes it as "partial 16S ribosomal RNA". It matches the Rfam family "Bacterial small subunit ribosomal RNA", at positions 28 to 507 of the family's 1533-position model. The record is from RNAcentral.